UUCUUGGUCAUUUAGAGGAAGUAAAAGUCGUAACAAGGUUUCCGUAGGUGAACCUGCGGAAGGAUCAUUAAAGAAAUUUAAUAAUUUUGAAAAUGGAUUUUUUUGUUUUGGCAAGAGCAUGAGAGCUUUUACUGGGCAAGAAGACAAGAGAUGGAGAGUCCAGCCGGACCUGCGCUUAAGUGCGCGGUCUUGCUAGGCUUGUAAGUUUCUUUCUUGCUAUUCCAAACGGUGAGAGAUUUCUGUGCUUUUGUUAUAGGACAAUUAAAACCGUUUCAAUACAACACACUGUGGAGUUUUCAUAUCUUUGCAACUUUUUCUUGGGGCAUUCGAGCAAUCGGGGCCCAGAGGUAACAAACACAAACAAUUUUAUCUAUUCAUUAAAUUUUUGUCAAAAACAAGAAUUUUCGUAACUGGAAAUUUUAAAAUAUUAAAAACUUUCAACAACGGAUCUCUUGGUUCUCGCAUCGAUGAAGAACGCAGCGAAAUGCGAUACGUAAUGUGAAUUGCAGAAUUCCGUGAAUCAUCGAAUCUUUGAACGCACAUUGCGCCCCUUGGUAUUCCAGGGGGCAUGCCUGUUUGAGCGUCAUUUCCUUCUCAAACAUUCUGUUUGGUAGUGAGUGAUACUCUUUGGAGUUAACUUGAAAUUGCUGGCCUUUUCAUUGGAUGUUUUUUUUCCAAAGAGAGGUUUCUCUGCGUGCUUGAGGUAUAAUGCAAGUACGGUCGUUUUAGGUUUUACCAACUGCGGCUAAUCUUUUUUUAUACUGAGCGUAUUGGAACGUUAUCGAUAAGAAGAGAGCGUCUAGGCGAACAAUGUUCUUAAAGUUUGACCUCAAAUCAGGUAGGAGUACCCGCUGAACUUAAGCAUAUCAAUAAGCGGAGGAA
Molecule: ribosomal RNA, 882 nt
Filed under: uncultured fungus
Lineage: Eukaryota; Fungi
Description: eukaryotic LSU rRNA
Rfam family: 5.8S ribosomal RNA (bases 433-586)
Source: RNAcentral